This 252-nucleotide ribosomal RNA is filed under the name uncultured bacterium. RNAcentral's name for it is "partial 16S ribosomal RNA". It matches the Rfam family "Bacterial small subunit ribosomal RNA", at positions 525 to 776 of the family's 1533-position model. The record is from RNAcentral.
ACGGAGGGUGCAAGCGUUAAUCGGAAUUACUGGGCGUAAAGCGUGUGUAGGUGGUUUGUUAAGUCGGAUGUGAAAUCCCCGGGCUCAACCUGGGAAUUGCAUUCGAUACUGGCAAACUUGAGUUUAGUAGAGGAAAGUGGAAUUCCAGGUGUAGCGGUGAAAUGCGUAGAUAUCUGGAGGAACAUCAGUGGCGAAGGCGGCUUUCUGGACUAAAACUGACACUGAGGCACGAAAGCGUGGGUAGCAAACAGG